ACACUGGGAUAGCCUUUCGAAAGAAAGAUUAAUACCGGAUGGCAUAGUCUUCCCGCAUGGGAUGACUAUUAAAGAAUUUCGGUUGUCGAUGGGGAUGCGUUCCAUUAGGCAGUUGGUGGGGUAACGGCCCACCAAACCUACGAUGGAUAGGGGUUCUGAGAGGAAGGUCCCCCACAUUGGAACUGAGACACGGUCCAAACUCCUACGGGAGGCAGCAGUGAGGAAUAUUGGUCAAUGGACGAGAGUCUGAACCAGCCAAGUAGCGUGAAGGAUGACUGCCCUAUGGGUUGUAAACUUCUUUUAUACGGGAAUAAAGUUAGCCACGUGUGGUUUUUUGUAUGUACCGUAUGAAUAAGGAUCGGCUAACUCCGUGCCAGCAGCCGCGGUAAUACGGAGGAUCCGAGCGUUAUCCGGAUUUAUUGGGUUUAAAGGGAGCGUAGGCGGGUUGUUAAGUCAGUUGUGAAAGUUUGCGGCUCAACCGUAAAAUUGCAGUUGAUACUGGCGACCUUGAGUGCAACAGAGGUAGGCGGAAUUCGUGGUGUAGCGGUGAAAUGCUUAGAUAUCACGAAGAACUCCGAUUGCGAAGGCAGCUUACUGGAUUGUAACUGACGCUGAUGCUCGAAAGUGUGGGUAUCAAACAGGAUUAGAUACCCUGGUAGUCCACACAGUAAACGA
Molecule: ribosomal RNA, 675 nt
Filed under: uncultured bacterium
Lineage: Bacteria
Description: bacterial SSU rRNA
Rfam family: Bacterial small subunit ribosomal RNA
Source: RNAcentral